UGGGUAAUAUCUAGCAUACGUAUAAGUGGGCAAUCAGCAUGAUCGAAUUUAUUCUCUUGCCAAUUAUAUGUUGUACAGAAUACACACUCAAACUAAAUAUCAAUAUCAGUCAUCAUCCCGAUCACUGAAUUAUGAGUUAGAGGUUGGUUAAAAUUGUCACUCUGCUCACUGUAGAAAUUGUUAACAGGACUUUGAGUCUGAGAGACAAUGGAAAUUGGCUCGUUGGAGCCAGCAAGGGCAUGUUGGACCCGGCCACAAGGGAAGAAAAGAAAGUGAAGGUUCUGUACAAGCAUCAACUAAAACUUGACAAGAAAAAAGAAAAAAUCGCUUGACAAACAGCCUAAGUUUCUUCUGCUUUCAUGAUGUUGUUCCAACUAUUUCAUGUACUCAACAAUGCUAGCAGAAAACCUGGUGAACUCACCAAUUACUCGCAAGUCGAUAAAUCCAUGCAUUGCUGCUCAGGAACAACCGAGUACUCAACAUGGAGGAGAUGAAAAUGGUACAUGUAUUUCUGUUUGAUUAGAAG
Molecule: long non-coding RNA, 526 nt
Organism: Rhododendron vialii
Lineage: Eukaryota; Viridiplantae; Streptophyta; Magnoliopsida; Ericales; Ericaceae
Exons: 3
Source: RefSeq, a predicted model, not a curated record